GCAGCGACGAAGACCCGGUGUCGUUCGGGCCCUCCUUGAACUGCUCCAUGUCGGCGAGGUUCGGGCGCGACAUCUUGUUCGCCGCGACGACUUGGAGGCUCGCAGCCCUGUUCGCGACCGGGCGCGCGGCGACGUUGAGGGACACCGGGGUCGCGCGGACGACCGUCUUGAACCCUGGUAGUUCAACGGAGCGGAGCGAGGAGUUGGAUGGUCAGCGACGCGUCCGGAGGAAGAGGCGUGGGAAUCGAUCGACCUCUGCGUGGCGAUUAACCCUCGAGGGAUAGGGUUUCGGUGUGGCGCCUUCGACGAGCGCGAAAGCGCCUUUGGCGGCGUCGACGGGACGCGGCACGCCGCGGACGAAUCGUCCGCGCCUACACGCGCGCACGCGACGCGCGCGGGACGACUCAACACGCUCGUGCGUGGGAAGAGCCGCCGCGUCCGGGCGGACGCGGCUUCCGCCGCUAGAUUUCGUUCGCGCGAGAGUCGAGCGUCGGGAUUCGCGCACCAGUCGCGCCGGACGAGGAGGUGACGGAAGUGCGAGGCGCGCUCGCGCGGACGAGAACCGCCGUGGUCAUCAUAGCGGCCAUCUUGUGCCUAAAGGUGUGAAGCUCGCGUCCUGUAGACGGC
Molecule: long non-coding RNA, 627 nt
Filed under: Micromonas pusilla
Lineage: Eukaryota; Viridiplantae; Chlorophyta; Mamiellophyceae; Mamiellales; Mamiellaceae
Description: long non-coding RNA (MPUS_LNC000047)
Source: RNAcentral